AGUAAUGUCUGGGAAACUGCCUGAUGGAGGGGGAGUAACUACUGGAAACGGUAGCUAAUACCGCAUAACGUCGCAAGACCAAAGAGGGGGACCGUUCGGGCCUCUUGCCAUCAGAUGUGCCCAGAUGGGAUUAGCUAGUAGGUGGGGUAACGGCUCACCUAGGCGACGAUCCCUAGCUGGUCUGAGAGGAUGACCAGCCACACUGGAACUGAGACACGGUCCAGACUCCUACGGGAGGCAGCAUG
Molecule: ribosomal RNA, 245 nt
Filed under: uncultured bacterium
Lineage: Bacteria
Description: partial 16S ribosomal RNA
Rfam family: Bacterial small subunit ribosomal RNA
Source: RNAcentral